AACGAACGCUGGCGGCGUGCUUAACACAUGCAAGUCGUACGAGAAAUCUUGAGCAAUCGGGAGAGUAAAGUGGCGCACGGGUGAGUAAUGCGUGGGUAACCUACCCUUCAAUUGGGGAUAACCCCGCGAAAGCGGGGCUAAUACCGAAUAAUGUUUCAGUCUUUUCGGGGAUUGAAAUGAAAGAUGGCCUCUGCAUGCAAGCUAUCGUUGAAGGAUGGGCCCGCGUACCAUUAGCUAGUUGGUAGGGUAAUAGCCUACCAAGGCAACGAUGGUUAGCUGGUCUGAGAGGAUGGCCAGCCACACUGGAACUGAGACACGGUCCAGACACCUACGGGUGGCAG
This 341-nucleotide ribosomal RNA is filed under the name uncultured Pseudomonadota bacterium. RNAcentral's name for it is "bacterial SSU rRNA". It matches the Rfam family "Bacterial small subunit ribosomal RNA", at positions 29 to 351 of the family's 1533-position model. Lineage: Bacteria; Pseudomonadati; Pseudomonadota. The record is from RNAcentral.